This 405-nucleotide ribosomal RNA is filed under the name uncultured bacterium. RNAcentral's name for it is "bacterial SSU rRNA". It matches the Rfam family "Bacterial small subunit ribosomal RNA", at positions 355 to 776 of the family's 1533-position model. The record is from RNAcentral.
UAGGGAAUCUUGCGCAAUGGGCGAAAGCCUGACGCAGCAACGCCGCGUGGGGGAAGAAGGCCCUCGGGUCGUAAACCCCUUUCAGCAGGGACGAAAUUGACGGUACCUGCAGAAGAAGCCCCGGCCAACUACGUGCCAGCAGCCGCGGUAACACGUAGGGGGCAAGCGUUGUCCGGAUUUAUUGGGCGUAGAGGGCUCGUGGGCUGUUCAGUAAGUCAGGUGUGAAAACUCGAGGCUCAACCUCGAGACGCCACUUGAUACUGCUGUGACUAGAGUUCGGUAGAGGAGUGUGGAAUUCCUAGUGUAGCGGUGAAAUGCGCAGAUAUUAGGAGGAACACCAACAGCGAAGGCAGCACUCUGGGCCGAUACUGACGCUGAGGAGCGAAAGCGUGGGGAGCGAACAGG